GACGAACGCUGGCGGCGUGCUUAACACAUGCAAGUCGAACGGAAAGGCCCUGCUUUUGUGGGGUGCUCGAGUGGCGAACGGGUGAGUAACACGUGAGUAACCUGCCCUUGACUCUGGGAUAACUUCAGGAAACUGGGGCUAAUACUGGAUAGGAGCUCCUGCUGCAUGGUGGGGGUUGGAAAGUUUCGGCGGUUGGGGAUGGACUUGCGGCUUAUCAGCUUGUUGGUGGGGUAGUGGCUUACCAAGGCUUUGACGGGUAGCCGGCCUGAGAGGGUGACCGGCCACAUUGGGACUGAGAUACGGCCCAGACUCCUACGGGAGGCAGCAGUGGGGAAUAUUGCACAAUGGGCGGAAGCCUGAUGCAGCGACGCCGCGUGCGGGAUGACGGCCUUCGGGUUGUAAACCGCUUUCAGCUGUGACGAAGCGAGAGUGACGGUAAUGGGAGAAGAAGCACCGGCUAACUACGUG
This 468-nucleotide ribosomal RNA is filed under the name uncultured bacterium. RNAcentral's name for it is "partial 16S ribosomal RNA". It matches the Rfam family "Bacterial small subunit ribosomal RNA", at positions 28 to 507 of the family's 1533-position model. The record is from RNAcentral.